Molecule: long non-coding RNA, 331 nt
Filed under: Monodelphis domestica (gray short-tailed opossum)
Lineage: Eukaryota; Metazoa; Chordata; Mammalia; Didelphimorphia; Didelphidae
Description: lncRNA (ENSMODG00000048091.1)
Source: RNAcentral
UGCUUCCCUUCAACACAGGCAAGGGAAAAGGAUUGUUUAGCACGGAUUGACUGCUGGACCAGGAGUCAAGACAACUAUGUAAUCAUUCCAACUCUAUCAUAUGCUAACUCUGUCAUUUAACUCCCCUGGGUCGGUUUUCCUAUCUACUGAAGCAGAUCUGAGAGUCAGCCUGAUAUGGUAUUAAGAAGACUAGAUUUGGAAUCCAAGGAACUAGAUUCAAAUUCCAGCUCUGACUGUUAGUUACACCCAUUCUGACCACUGGGCAUGCUGUAGCUUCUUGGAGCCACAUGUGAAGACAGAAUAAAAAACAGUUAUCAGAGGUGGAUGAACA